CGCGGGAUGGAGCAGUCUGGUAGCUCGUCGGGCUCAUAACCCGGAGGUCGUAGGUUCAAAUCCUGCUCCCGCAACCA
This 77-nucleotide transfer RNA is filed under the name Tissierellaceae bacterium. Its description in RNAcentral is "tRNA-Met". It matches the Rfam family "tRNA". From Rfam's summary of the family: Transfer RNA (tRNA) molecules are approximately 80 nucleotides in length. Their secondary structure includes four short double-helical elements and three loops (D, anti-codon, and T loops). The record is from RNAcentral. Lineage: Bacteria; Bacillati; Bacillota; Tissierellia; Tissierellales; Tissierellaceae. RNAcentral also lists the same sequence under 4 other names.